UUGAUUUUUUUAAUUGAAAAAUAUAUUAAACAUAAACAUAUUCUGGCCACAUAAUGUAUGCUUGUUUUUUUGUUUGUGUAGUCACAAGUUUUUCUGUGAUGCCUGGAUUUGCAGGGAAACCAGCCUGAACACUCAUUUCACGGUGUCUGUUACUUGGAAGGAAAACACAGUUUCUUAUUUCUUUGCAGAACCACUUGGGUGAAUGUAGGCUGUUAAAGUUGAAGGUGAGCUCACGUGCUCGAAUUCUGAGCCCAUGUGAGGAUGUCAGUAACUUCCAGUGGGGCAUGAAAACGAUACUGUGUUUUAACCCAAGCUCUCUUUGCCUCUCCAUUCCCACUUGCCUGGAUUUGGCUGGAUGUGCACCGCAAGGCUCCUUAUUUCUGGCACUACUGUACAAAAUGACCAGUGAAUCCCUCUUAUGUCAUGACUCUGAUUCUGAGUUCCUGGAAUCUUAAAAUAUAUCCAACACCUCUUUUCAUGUUUAGCAUUUCUGCACUAUUUUAAAACUUUUUAAGACCGUAAUUCAAUUUAUCCCCCAUGAGAAACCAAAUGUAUUUGGCACUUCCCUUCAUCCUUUGUGCUUACUUCUCAAUUCUAUUUCUGAUUUGUUGCCUGGCAUCCUUUGCUUUGGGAUCUAUGUGCCAAGAAAGCCACAAGGUUAACGUGGACCUGAACAGUGCUCUGUGAUCCUCUGUUGGAAAUCGCCAGAAAUCAAGGCAGUUUGGUAACAUCAUUCCGUGAGGCCUGAGCUUGCAGAACGCCUUGGGGAUGACCUUCUUAUUGGAUGCACACCAACUGCACUGUCUAGUAUACUAAGGUGAUGGUUGCUAUAUAGUGUGUGUUGUGAAGACUCAUAAGAUUAAAGGUUAUUCUCGUGAGAUAGAUAGGGCCAGGCUCCCGGGAAAUUCCCCAUAAGUUGAAACAAACAGUAAGGACACAUUUGCCUGGCCAAGGAAGUGAUCAAAGGAUCUUCGUGAGAAAACAGGAGAUUUAGGACCAGCCAAGAGAGUCAUUGUUUUCUUCGCUGCUAGCCUGGGUCACUUCCUCAUUAGUUAUGUCCCCAGAUAUUGGUCACCAAGAUCCCUGGGCCACUUUCCCAAUCCUUUGUAACCAAGUUCUGCUGAGAGUCCAUGUAAGAGCUGUAAGUCAACUGAAAUAUCUUCUCUACAAUGGACUUAAGCUUCUCAAAGCCAAAUAUAGUAUGAAUCACAAGAUGAAAACCUAAAACAAUCAGCUAACAGUUGGGAAACACUACCUCACUCCCCACCACCUACAAUAUACACACACAUACACAUCCAUCCAAACAUUUCUUUCUUUUAAGCUCUAAGUGUCAAAUCCCUGGACUGACAAUUACAUAUAUUUUCCCUCAUUUAUCUUAUAUUUUGAAUUGCACGUGCUUUUGAAAACCACCUAAAAUCCUUUGGGGAAAAAUAACGCAUAGGUUAAUCACUUUGUAAAUGAAAAAUAAAUGAUGUGCCAUUCUUCUUCCAAGGUUUUCCCUUUCACUGCAGCCCAGCAGUCCUUACUCUGUCCUAAGUUCCUUUAGCUUCCUUGCGGAAAUGCAGCUUCUAGGCUGCCUCGUGGUUUUUGCAGAGCACAGACAGCAUCCUGGAAGUAUGACGUGCUCUUCACUGGCAAGGACCUUCAGAGUUCCUCAGCCCCUCUCUCACUAGCUAUUGACACUCCCCAGCCCAGGCUUGGGCACAGACGAUGCGUUUGACAAACAAGUACUAUUGUUUGGGCCAGCCAGAUCUGUGGAAUGAACUUUGGAACUCAAAGGGGACUAAAGAUAGUUUUCUUUCACAUCUGCUAUGCUCCCAAGAUAGUUUAAGAGUUGUUGAAUGACUAUGUGUUUUAUGGGCACAAUCUCACUUAAUCCGCACAACUAGUUCAUCCUGUAGACAAGGAAACAAAGGCAUAAAGAGGCUUAGUCACCUGUCCAACAUGAAGAAACAUUGCCGGGAAGUCAGGCAAUCAACUUCACAAUUCAAAAUCUUGGUCAUGCAGGAGGAGCCAGAGGGAAAGAAAUAGCUGGGCGGUUAGAAAUGUGGCUUCAGCAAGACCACGGCGUUUGCUCUGGGCAUUGAAUGACAAGAUGAUUUGAAAUACGCAGAGAAGCUGGAGGCUGCUUAAGGAAAAGUAUGAGCCAAGUUUCCAAAUCUGGAAAGCACAGCCGGUCAUCGGCUCUUCCCAGAGCCUGGCCAAUGCUUCGCUGAGAAGGCCUCGCAGCAGCCCCCGAGGAUGAAGGAGUAUCCCAGUUGCGUCUUCUGAAGCUGAGUCUCCUGUUUUAUGGUUCAUCCAAAUGUGCAGUGCUCAUCUGACUCGCUCAUCACCAUGCAGUGGGGCUGCAUGGAUGAAGCUAAUUUGUGCCGGGCCUAUUUGGAAGCUGGUGUUCCCGUCAUGAAGACUCAGAGGUAGGGCACUCAACUGAGUGAACUCUAGGUAGGAAAGAACAGUGACCACAGAAACGUAGUGUCUCUCUGAAGCUGGAAAUUUGAUCCCAGGUGAAAGCAACCCAGCAGCUGACUACUCAAUGUCUACUGUGUAGUUCCAAGGUUUAGUUCAACUGACUGCAGAUCACCGAAACCUCAGCUAGACCCUGGUUCAAGGCUUUUGGUGGUAGAAGAAGUUAUGUGUGCAGGCUUCACUGUCAGAGAGACUUAGGCUUUGCUCUCCGCUCUUAUGCUCUCUAGCAGAGCCAUCUUGGAUGAAUUGCUGAACUUCACACCAUAAUCUGGAUGUGAUAAUGUUUACUAUACAGACUUCAGGUAAGGAUUUAAUUGAGAUCAUAGACAGAAAGCACUAAGUAAGCAUUCCCUAACCCAUGCUAAUGCACAAAACUUGUUGGUUACUAUGAUUACAAAAGCUGCCACAACAUCUCUCUUGAAGCUUAUAGUGUAAGGGGAAAAGGGGUGCCGGGCACAAAGUUCCUCUAAACAGAGUUGAGCAAUGCUUUUAAGAACUGUUGGAAAUAGAUUUUACUAUCCCCAUUCUUCCCAUGAGGACAUGAAAACCCCUAAAACCUAAAGUUUUGCUCAAGGCCACAUAGCUAAUCAUAGGGCCUGGAUGAAAAUCUGUGUCCGCUGGAACUGUCUCCCAUUAAAGGCCAUGAACUUUCCAUAACAUCAGCAGCCACUUCUGACUUCUCACUCUUCCACGGAGAGGCUGGACACUGGGGAACAUGUUGUUUCAACUAAUUUUACCUUUGUUAUCACAUUCAGUAAGUGGUAUUUAUGUUGGCUGUCCUUUAUGUCUCAUUUGAUUAGGCUUCAGGAGAACAAAUGAUAUAGUAGUCACAAGAAGACUUGAUAAAACAGGAUAUUCCUAUCUCAAUUUUUUUUUCUGGCUUUCUCUUGAUUUGAGGAGCCCAUAGGAAGAACAAAUAAAACCAAAGCAUGAGUGGGUAAAAGAAUGCCCAUCAGUAAAGCAGCAAACGAGCUUUGAGCUCUUUGGAGAAUUCCAUUAAUAAAAGUACUUUUGCACUUGCCACUGUUGACAGAGAUGGAGGACUUGGGUCUCCUAACACCGUCAAGCUGCACCUUUGUGUAACACAUCUAAUCCACUACAGAGGGACAACUUUCAACUGAUGCCUACAGUUUUUCCUUCUCUGAAGCUUAGUGACAUUCAUCGUUUUCUUCUCACAUUUUCUUUUAAAUGCCCCAGUGCAUGACUACCUUUUCAAGGGUUUGUCCCUUUUCAGUAAGAGAGAAAUCAACUAUAGCAGACACUGGGAGGCAGGGUCCACAGCUCUCCCAAGAAUGACAAUAAUGUGAUGGUUUAGGCAUCUGACCCUUACUCAUUGCUCUCUCCAACUCUGUUCCAUUUUGAUAUUAAUUAAAAACAGUUUUAAUCUAAAACCCGUCUAUCAAAAGAAGAACUGCUUGAAGCAAUAUAUGCCUCCUGAAGUCAAUGUCAUGUGACUUUACUCCACUUGAAUUACCUGAAGCAAGACAGUAGUAGUAAUAGCUAUCAUAGUCCAGCUACCAUUUCUUUUCUUUUU
Molecule: long non-coding RNA, 4000 nt
Filed under: Homo sapiens (human)
Lineage: Eukaryota; Metazoa; Chordata; Mammalia; Primates; Hominidae
Description: HSALNT0340460
Source: RNAcentral